Small nucleolar RNA from Clupea harengus (Atlantic herring), 149 nucleotides. Lineage: Eukaryota; Metazoa; Chordata; Actinopteri; Clupeiformes; Clupeidae. The record is from Ensembl.
CUUCAGUGAUGAUUCGAUGACGAGUCGGAAAUGGACUCUGUCUCUACUGUGGUGUCUGGCUUAGGGUCACGUUUUGUGCCUUUGAGUCUAGUCCUCAGUGGAAAGGUGUUCUGCUCAGUUGAAGACAUAGAGGCAUUUGUCUGAGAAGG